ACAAAACAGAGGAUGGUUAUCUGCAGUCGAAUUUAACUUCUCAAUGCAGGGAUCAACUUUCGUAGGAAUAACACUAUUAAAAACUAUCAAUAAACUCCCCAAGUAAAUAUAUCUAGAAAUAGACGUAUAUAUCUGGAAAUAAUACAUUUAUUUACUUCAUACUUAUUUGUCAAAACAGGAAGGGUAGCCCGGUGCACUAAGCUCCCGCUAUGCGCGGGGUCGGGGAAGGGCCGGACCAUAAGAGUCUAUUGUACGCAGUCUUGCCCUACAUUUCUACAAGAGGCUGUUUCCACGGCUCGAACCCGUGACCUCCUGGUCACAUGGCAACAAUUUUACCGGUUACGCCAAGGCUCCCCUUCAUUUAUCAAAACACACUAAAAAUUACAAAAAAAAACUGCAGUGCUUAAGCAGCUGCAGCACAAAAGCAAAAAAGAAGAAAGAGGAGUUCGAGUACACACCAGACUUCAUGGUUUGCAUCAGCUGGUAAAGUCUGGAGAAUUCUCAAAAGCUGUGAAGCAAACAUCAAAGUAGCCAGGAAGAAACACAACUCCGAAACCUGUGUCAAUAUAAAUUUCAAGAUUAUUUUUAAGAACAUUGGCUGAAAUCUCCUGCAACUUCCCAGAAUCAGAGUAAAUUUUAGCACAUGCCCAGCAGAAGUUUGAAGAGUAUUACUUAACAGGUUUGAGAUACCACUAUCCAAUAUAAAUCAACCUUUGAAGUUUAAUGACCCGUUUAGUGGUGGAUCUAGAGAAGGGGAGCCUAAGCGUAACUGAUAAAGUUGCUGCCAUGUGACCAUGAGAUCACAAGUUCAAGCCGUGAAAAUAGUUUCUCGUAGAAAUGCCGGUAAGGCUGCGUACAAUAGAUACUUGUGGUCCAGCCUUUUUCCGGACCCCACGCAUAGCGGAAGCUUAGUAUAGCGGGUUGACUUUUUUUUUUAAUUGGUGGAUGUAGACCAGACGCAACGAGUUCAACAAAACCCACUGCAUGUAGUAUGAACUAUGUGUGUGUGAAGAAAAUAUUGGCACAUAUAUAAAGAAUAGAACCCCACUAACUAUAAAUCCUGAAUUCGCCGCUGGACUUGCUUACGGUGAAUUGAUAAAUAAUUAAACACAACUAGAAGAAAGUUCAAAUUAAAUAAAAAAUCAGUUCAAACCCAUGGCCAGAAAACAGGUAAGGCUCAUACUUGUAUGCUACUCAUAAGUUAACAUUCUCUUCAACAUAGGAUUCUCACUUUUUCCAGAAACUCAAAGAAACCAAAAGGUGCUAAAUCAUCUCAAUCAUAAGAUGCCCAUAAUUUAAAAUAAAACAAAGUGCAAGUCAGACCUCAUCUUUAUUUUAUCUUUCUGUGACUUUCUUUUCAUUUAAUUUUUUUUUCCUGUCAAUAAAAUAGUGAAUUUAUGUUUAAAUUGCCAAAACCACCAGGAAUCUUAACUUUGUCCACUUUUGAAGAAAAAGACAAGAAAUGAUCACCCUUUUGAAAAUUUGUACAAAGCUCAAAUGAGUACAUAAUUAAAGAUCAAUCUCCACCAUCCAUUUUGUUCUUUAGCUAAAUUACAUAAUCAUUUCUAACUAGAUCUAUAUUCUGAUUGUUUAAUAACAAAAUCUCUUCAUAAAAAGUUAAAAAAAUUAAAAAGAAAAAGAUUUCUUCACAAUGAUACAUUCUGACAGGUUGUCAUGGGAUCCCAAGAAAAUUCACAAUCUCAUCUCAUAAUCCAUAAAAAAGAAUUACAUCUUAAUUAUUUAAUCAAAUGAUUAGCAUAAAACUUUACCUGGCUAAAAGUGGAUCAAAAGAAUUUUCCUCUUUAUCCCUUUAGUACAAAGUUCUGCUUCUGGGUUCCACUGCAAAACAUUAAAAAGCACCAAAUUUCAUCAGAUUAAACACAACCUUACUACUUCAAAAAACUAAAAAAAAAACAACAUGAAAUCCGAGAAAAAAAAUCCAAUCUUUGCCAUGGAAAUUGAAAAUCCAACAGCAGAAUCAAACUAAAUAUGAAGAAUAAUCCCAAAAUUUUACACAUAUAAAAGUAGCAAAUUUCAUCAAAUUAUAGAAAUAAAACUUAGUACUUCAAAAAAAAUCUUAAGGAAUAAUGAAAUAGGAGUAAAAAUCAAAUCUUUGCCAAGAAAAUUAAAAAACCCAAUUGCAGAAUCAAGCUAAAUAAGCAGAUCAAUCCAAAGAUUAUAAAAACAAUCUCCAAAAACACAACAAAUUCGAAAAAUCUAAAAAAAAAACCUUAAUUUGUCUUGUUGUGAAGAAGAAGAAUAGGGAUGAGAUAAAGUCGGACAAUUAAUAUACACUCAACUUAUAAAACGACAAAGAUCAUGCCGUUUUAAUUUGCUUCUUUGAGGAAAUAUAGAAAGAGAGAAACUGUAUGUGAAGUUAGAAAACGCAAUGAACGUGAAUGAAAAGAGAGAGUGGGAAGCCAGCAAACAUUAACACAGGCUGUGUUACACAGCUACACAAAUUUACAUAUAAGGUCAACUCUUUCUCUCUGNNNNNNNNNNNNNNNNNNNNNNNNNUAUAUAUAUAUAUAUCUGAAAAAUACGGUGUGCAAUUAAUGUAAGGAUACUUAUCUUGUAUAAUGGUGUACGUGAAAAAGAGAGAACAGUUGGUGGUGGUCAUAACUGAUAAAGGUGCAGAGCACGAAGAGGAGCUUAUAAAAAGGCAUUUAAUUAUUGUUGUACACUCUAUACAUAAAGUGGGAAAAGGGAAAGAAAAAAACAAAAAGAAAAGAAUAUAUAUUUAUAUAUUCGAAAGGGGCGGCAGAGUUACCGGAAAAACAGAUCAGCCGAUUCACUACUCCGGGGACAGAGCAGUAUUAAAUCAAAGGAAUCAGAUCCAUAACUAAUACUGUCGUAAUAAAAACUGUAAUCUAAAAAACAGAGAGGGGUGGUGGGGGUUCUGACAAUGGAAUCGGGGGAUAUAUAAAUGAAGUGGAGAAGAAUGGAAGAGCUGACUUUGUUUUAUUUUUAUGGAGAGAAAAAGGACAAGAGAUGGUCAAAAAGGUAGGUGAAUUGGAUUUAAGCUGUUUGGUUUGGAUUUCUCACAUUUUUGUUUGUCUUCCCUUAUAUUUUCAUUAAAA
This 3080-nucleotide long non-coding RNA is filed under the name Nicotiana tabacum (common tobacco). RNAcentral describes it as "long non-coding RNA (NTAB_LNC013828)". The record is from RNAcentral. Lineage: Eukaryota; Viridiplantae; Streptophyta; Magnoliopsida; Solanales; Solanaceae.